AAAUCAAGCGCGAAAAGGGCGUUUGGUGAAUGCCUUGGCAGUAAGAGGCGAUGAAAGACGUGAUACUCUGCGAUAAGCCAUGGGGAGCUGAGAAUAAGCUUUGAUCCAUGGAUUUCUGAAUGGGGCAACCCACCUGAUACUUUGUUAUUGUUAGCCGCAAGGUUAUCAAUAAUGAGGUUAACCAGGUAUUUAUGACCUGAAUACAUAGGGUUAUAAAGGCAAACCCGGGGAACUGAAACAUCUAAGUACCCGGAGGAAAGGACAUCAAUUGAUACUCCCCUAGUAGCGGCGAGCGAACGGGGACCAGCCGAGCCAUGAAUGUGAAUAGAAUGUGUUGGGAAGCACAGCCAUAGUGGGUGAUAGCCCCGUAUAUGAAGCACGAUUGGACGUAUUAAGUAGGGCGGAACACGUGAAAUUCUGUCUGAAGAUCGGAGGACCACCUUCGAAGGCUAAGUACUCCUUACUGACCGAUAGUGAACCAGUACCGUGAGGGAAAGGUGAAAAGCACCCCGACGAGGGGAGUGAAACAGUACCUGAAACCGAACGCCUACAAUCAGUUGGAGGGGCCUUGCGCCCUGACAGCGUACCUUUUGUAUAAUGGGUCAUCGACUUGGUCUCACGAGCAAGCUUAAGCCGUUAGGUGUAGGCGCAGCGAAAGCGAGUCUUAAUAGGGCGUCGAGUUCGUGGGAUCAGACCCGAAACCGAGUGAUCUAGGCAUGACCAGGAUGAAGGUAAGGUAACACUUACUGGAGGUCCGAACCCACACCUGUUGAAAAAGGUCGGGAUGAGUUGUGCCUAGGGGUGAAAGGCCAAUCAAACUCGGAGAUAGCUGGUUCUCUGCGAAAUCUAUUUAGGUAGAGCGUCAUCCGAAUACCCUCGGGGGUAGAGCACUGGAUGGGUAAUGGGGCCCCACAGGCUUACUGAUCCUAACCAAACUCCGAAUACCGAGGAGUACUAGAUGGCAGACACACUGCGGAUGCUAACGUCCGUAGUGAAGAGGGAAACAACCCUGACCUCCAGCUAAGGCCCCUAAUUCAUGGCUAAGUGGGAAAGCAGGUGGGACGACCAAAACAACCAGGAGGUUGGCUUAGAAGCAGCCAUCCUUUAAAGAUAGCGUAACAGCUCACUGGUCUAAUCAAGUUGUCCUGCGGCGAAGAUGUAACGGGGCUCAAGCCAUGAGCCGAAGCUGAGGAUGCCGUAAGGCAUGGUAGCAGAGCGUAGUGUGACAUAGUUCCAUGUGUCCUUACCUUCUUCGGAAGGAUUGGACACAAGGAGCUUUCGAUGAAGCCGGGGCGUGAGCCAUCCGGUGGAGAGAUCACUAGCGAGAAUGAUGACAUGAGUAGCGACAAAGAGUGUGAGAGACACUCUCGCCGAAAGUCCAAGGGUUCCUGCUUAAAGCUAAUCUGAGCAGGGUAAGCCGACCCCUAAGGCGAGGCCGAAAGGCGUAGUCGAUGGGAACCAGGUUAAUAUUCCUGGGCCAGGAGGAUGUGACGGAUUGUGAAGGUUGUUUGCCCUUAUCGGAUUGGGCAGGCCGCUGAUCAGUUCCUGGAAAUAGCCCUCCGUGAGAUCGUACCCUAAACCGACACAGGUGGACUGGUAGAGAAUACCAAGGCGCUUGAGAGAACUAUGUUGAAGGAACUCGGCAAAAUACCUCCGUAAGUUCGCGAGAAGGAGGCCCAGUUUCUACGUAAGUAUUGGCUGGGGGCACAAACCAGGGGGUGGCGACUGUUUAUUAAAAACACAGGGCUCUGCGAAGUCGCAAGACGACGUAUAGGGUCUGACGCCUGCCCGGUGCCUGAAGGUUAAAAGGAGAGGUGAGAGCCUUGAAUUGAAGCCCAGGUAAACGGCGGCCGUAACUAUAACGGUCCUAAGGUAGCGAAAUUCCUUGUCGGGUAAGUUCCGACCUGCACGAAUGGCGUAACGACUUCCCCGCUGUCUCCAACAUAGACUCAGCGAAAUUGAAUUACCUGUCAAGAUGCAGGUUUCCCGCGGUUAGACGGAAAGACCCCGUGCACCUUUACUACAGCUUCGCACUGGCAUCAGGAUUGUGAUGUGCAGGAUAGGUGGUAGGCUUUGAAGCAGGAACGCUAGUUCUUGUGGAGCCACCCUUGAGAUACCACCCUUCGCACUCUUGAUGUCUAACCGCGGUCCGUUAUCCGGAUCCGGGACCCUGCGUGGCGGGUAGUUUGACUGGGGCGGUCGCCUCCUAAAGCGUAACGGAGGCGCGCGAAGGUUGGCUCAGAGCGGUCGGAAAUCGCUCGUUGAGUGCAAUGGCAGAAGCCAGCCUGACUGCAAGACUGACAAGUCGAGCAGAGUCGAAAGACGGCCAUAGUGAUCCGGUGGUCCCGAGUGGAAGGGCCAUCGCUCAACGGAUAAAAGGUACGCCGGGGAUAACAGGCUGAUACUGCCCAAGAGUCCAUAUCGACGGCAGUGUUUGGCACCUCGAUGUCGGCUCAUCUCAUCCUGGGGCUGGAGCAGGUCCCAAGGGUACGGCUGUUCGCCGUUUAAAGAGGUACGUGAGCUGGGUUUAGAACGUCGUGAGACAGUUCGGUCCCUAUCUGCCGUGGGUGUAGGAUACUUGAGAGGAGUUGCCCCUAGUACGAGAGGACCGGGGUGAACGAUCCACUGGUGGACCAGUUGUUAUGCCAAUAGCAGUGCUGGGUAGCUACGAUCGGACAGGAUAACCGCUGAAGGCAUCUAAGCGGGAAGCCCCCCUCAAAACAAGGUAUCCCUGAGAGCCGUGGUAGACCACCACGUCGAUAGGCCAGAGAUGUAAGUGCAGCAAUGCAUUCAGUUGACUGGUACUAAUUGCUCGAUAGGCUUGAUUUGA
RNAcentral lists this ribosomal RNA (2830 nucleotides) under Sedimentitalea nanhaiensis. RNAcentral describes it as "bacterial LSU rRNA". It matches the Rfam family "Bacterial large subunit ribosomal RNA". The record is from RNAcentral. Lineage: Bacteria; Pseudomonadati; Pseudomonadota; Alphaproteobacteria; Rhodobacterales; Paracoccaceae.